Molecule: ribosomal RNA, 459 nt
Filed under: uncultured bacterium
Lineage: Bacteria
Description: partial 16S ribosomal RNA
Rfam family: Bacterial small subunit ribosomal RNA
Source: RNAcentral
CCUACGGGAGGCAGCAGUGAGGAAUAUUGGUCAAUGGCCGAAAGGCUGAACCAGCCAAGUCGCGUGAGGGAAGAAGGUCCUAUGGAUUGUAAACCUCUUUUGUCAGGGAGCAAAGUCACCCCCGAGAGCCUGACGGAGAGUACCUGAAGAAAAAGCAUCGGCUAACUCCGUGCCAGCAGCCGCGGUAAUACGGAGGAUGCGAGCGUUAUCCGGAUUUAUUGGGUUUAAAGGGUGCGUAGGCGGAACAUUAAGUCAGCGGUAAAAUCGAGGGGCUCAACGCCAUCAAGCCGUUGAAACUGGUGAUCUUGAGUUGGCGAGAAGUAUGCGGAAUGCGUGGUGUAGCGGUGAAAUGCAUAGAUAUCACGCAGAACUCCGAUUGCGAAGGCAGCAUACCGGCGCCCGACUGACGCUGAGGCACGAAAGCGUGGGUAUCGAACAGGAUUAGAUACCCGGGUAGUC